UGGGGAAUAUUGCACAAUGGGCGAAAGCCUGAUGCAGCAACGCCGCGUGAGUGAUGAAGGCCUUCGGGUUGUAAAGCUCUGUCUUCUGGGACGAUAAUGACGGUACCAGAGGAGGAAGCCACGGCUAACUACGUGCCAGCAGCCGCGGUAAUACGUAGGUGGCCAGCGUUGUCCGGAUUUACUGGGCGUAAAGGAUGCGUAGGCGGAUACUUAAGUCAGAUGUGAAAAUCCCGGGCUUAACUUGGGAACUGCAUUUGAAACUGGGUAUCUAGAGUGCGGGAGAGGAAAGUGGAAUUCCUAGUGUAGCGGUGAAAUGCGUAGAGAUUAGGAAGAACACCAGUGUCGAAGGCGACUUUCUGGACCGUAACUGACGCUGAGUCAUGAAAGCGUGGGGAGCAAACA
RNAcentral lists this ribosomal RNA (402 nucleotides) under uncultured bacterium. RNAcentral describes it as "bacterial SSU rRNA". It matches the Rfam family "Bacterial small subunit ribosomal RNA", at positions 355 to 774 of the family's 1533-position model. The record is from RNAcentral.